UCCGUAGGUGGAUAAUUAAGUCAGAGGUGAAAUCCUGCAGCUCAACUGUAGAAUUGCCUUUGAUACUGGUUAUCUUGAGUUAUUAUGAAGUAGUUAGAAUAUGUAGUGUAGCGGUGAAAUGCAUAGAUAUUACAUAGAAUACCAAUUGCGAAGGCAGAUUACUAAUAAUCAACUGACACUGAUGGACGAAAGCGUGGGAGCGAACAGGAUUAGAUACCCUGGUAGUCC
This 228-nucleotide ribosomal RNA is filed under the name uncultured bacterium. RNAcentral describes it as "partial 16S ribosomal RNA". It matches the Rfam family "Bacterial small subunit ribosomal RNA", at positions 568 to 796 of the family's 1533-position model. The record is from RNAcentral.